GCACCAGCUAAUGAGUACAGAACAUGGGAUUGGAUUGGCUGGGUGACGAUUGAUUACCGUCGAGCCAUCUGCACUUGUGAUUCAGUUGCUGCGAAAUGUUUUGCAAUGAACGUUUACAAUCAUGCGCAUGAUUCCUAUGAUAAAUCUAAAUGCGUCAAUGACACAAAUGUAUUAUUUUAAACGACAAUUAGAUUGAAUUCGUAGACUAACAAUGCAAUUCUGCACUCGUAUAAAGCGAGUUAUAAAGCGUA
This is a non-coding RNA of Paramuricea clavata, 251 nucleotides long. NCBI's taxonomy places the organism in Eukaryota, Metazoa, Cnidaria, Anthozoa, Malacalcyonacea, Plexauridae. The record is from the annotation of a GenBank genome assembly.